ACUCCGUCUCCAAAAAUAAAAUAAAAAUGGUUAAACUAUGUGAAAUUGAAAAGUCAUAUAAAAAUAGAUGGAAGGAAAAGGAAAACCAAAUUAAGAAAACAAAAUACCUACAAAAUCACUGAAGUCUUGAUUAACAAAUCCAAACCAAAAAUGAUGGCUAACUAUGAUCAAGCAAAAAAGAAAGAGAAUAAGAGAGAAAUCUCGAGAAAUCUCCUCUCUUAUUCCUAAUAUAGUAUUAUUUUCCCAAAUAAUACUACGUUCAAAUGUUUUCCCAAAUAAUCCUAUAUUAGGAACAAGAGAGGAGAUUUAACUGCAAUUACAGAAGAUGUUUUUUAAAUUGUAAGAGAGUUUUCUAUAUUACUUCUACACAUAAAUUGGAAAACUUAAGAAAUUUAUUAGUACUGAUUUGGAUGCAAAUAACAGGUACUCAAUUCAAAUUAGAUGAAGCAAAAAAAAAAAAAAAAAUGACAUACUGACUCAAAAACCUGAGAAGCCCAGAGGGCUGUGCUCACUCCAUACCUGGCUGGGUCCAGGGGAUCAAUGUCUUAAGAAUUCUCUCACUCUUUCCCACUACAUCUCUCAGUUCAGCUCAGACAGCUCAGACAGGUAUCCAGGAAACACAGCCAUCUACAGCCACAAGCUCACAUCUUACUAGCUUAAGAACCAAAAUAGAAAAAUAAAACAUUUCCCCUCUGAUGUCUAUAUAUCAAUCCAAGAAAAGACUCUGAUUGUCCCUCCUCAGAUCUUGUCUUCUCUAUCCCUAUAAUUAAGUAGGCAGCAGAUCACCUCAGGUGGCAGCCAUUAUGGGAUCAUUGUGAAUGUAGGGGCAGUUUCCUAAAGGACAUGAUGUUGUUACACAGGCAAAAAUGACUGAUGUCUACGACAACAAAAAUGUGAUUUAUCAAAACUGAUUAAAGAAGAGUUCGAAAAUCUGAAUAUGCCACUAAUUACAAAUUAAAUUGAAAAUGCUAUAUAUCUACCGCCCCUAAAAGGUACCAGUUUCAAACUGUUCUAUCAAACUAACAAAGGGCAGAUCAUUCCUGAGUUAUUUAAAUUGUUCCAGUUCACAGAAAAAGAGAAAGAGCGUGCUAUUUAACAAAACUAGCGUUGCUCUCUUUCCAGAGCUAGAUUAAACAAUAAUGGGGCAUUCGGGAGAGGAAAUUGUAGACAAAUCUCACCUAUGAAUAUAGACAUAAAAAUCCUUAAUAAGAUAUUAGGAAAUUGAAUUCAAUAAAGUAUUAAAAGAAUAAUACAACAUAACCAAGUAAAAUACAUCCUAACAUAUUAUUAGUGUAUUUUACCAUAAUUCACCACAUUAACCGAUUAAUGAAGAAAAACCAUAUCAUCACUUCAACAGUUUCCAGCAUAUUUUUAUAAAACUCAACAGCCAUACAUAUAUAUAUAUAAAAAUUUUUUUUUUUUUUGAGACAGAGUCUAACUUUGUCACCCAGGCUGGAAGUGAGACUGUCUCAAAAUAAAAUAAAAUGACAUCAAUUAUCAGGACUCAUGAAUGCCCACAAUAACAAAUAAUACAGAAAUAUGUGUUUUAUGAAAAUUAAUAUUUGAAAUGGAGGCAUAAAAACCUCUAUUUACCUCACCAUCACCACCAAUGUAUCAUUCCCACCUGCAUACUUGGUCAGUAGAAACUCAUUGUAAAUUAGCUUCUCAGAUUUUUACUCUCUUUGAUGGGGAGUGAUACCUGACAAUAAUCAAUUGUACCAUUAUUCUUUGUAUCAGAAUUAUUUGUGUAUCUUAUUUUCCCUAUGAGAUAAGAAACUUCCUCUUUGUAUUCCAUCCCUACAACAACUUGGGUGCAGUAGGUAUACAGUGAUUAUCAAUUUGAAUAUUGCAUGAAGGUAAGGGACAGAGAGAAAGAAGAGUUAAAGCAGAGGGAAGAGUCGGGUCAGAAAGGCUAAAGGAGAUAAGUCAUAUGAGUCUUUCUUACUCAUUUCCUUCCAUGGAUAAAUUCUCAUUAUCUGAACACCUUACAUUUAAAAGUGGUAAGAAUUUUAGAGUAGAGUAUUCAGCAUUUGAGGAAUUUAUCAGGAAAAGACUAGGAAAUAUCCCCCAUAUCAUGCAGCUAAAGUGUGGAGGCCAUUCCUGAUUUUUUGUAGGACUUGAA
Macaca fascicularis (crab-eating macaque) is the source of this 2122-nucleotide long non-coding RNA. The record is from Ensembl. NCBI's taxonomy places the organism in Eukaryota, Metazoa, Chordata, Mammalia, Primates, Cercopithecidae.